This is a non-coding RNA of Rattus norvegicus (Norway rat), 69 nucleotides long. NCBI's taxonomy places the organism in Eukaryota, Metazoa, Chordata, Mammalia, Rodentia, Muridae. The record is from Rfam.
GGGGAUUUGGCUCAGUGGUAGAGCGCUUGCCUAGCAAGCACAAGGUCCUGGGUUCGGUCCCCAGCUCCG